RNAcentral lists this ribosomal RNA (433 nucleotides) under uncultured bacterium. RNAcentral's name for it is "bacterial SSU rRNA". It matches the Rfam family "Bacterial small subunit ribosomal RNA", at positions 62 to 543 of the family's 1533-position model. The record is from RNAcentral.
UCGAGCGCCCCGCAAGGGGAGCGGCAGACGGGUGAGUAACACGUGGGAACGUACCCUUCAGUUCGGAACAACCCAGGGAAACUUGGGCUAAUACCGGAUACGUCCGUAAGGAGAAAGAUUUAUCGCUGAAGGAUCGGCCCGCGUCUAAUUAGCUUGUUGGUGAGGUAACGGCUCACCAAGGCUACGAUCAGUAGCUGGUCUGAGAGGAUGAUCAGCCACACUGGGACUGAGACACGGCCCAGACUCCUACGGGAGGCAGCAGUGGGGAAUAUUGGACAAUGGGCGCAAGCCUGAUCCAGCCAUGCCGCGUGAGUGAUGAAGGCCCUAGGGUUGUAAAGCUCUUUCGGCGGGGAAGAUAAUGACGGUACCCGCAGAAGAAGCCCCGGCCAACUUCGUGCCAGCAGCCGCGGUAAUACGAAGGGGGCUAGCGUUG